GAACUGAAGAGUUUGAUCAUGGCUCAGAUUGAACGCUGGCGGCAGGCCUAACACAUGCAAGUCGAGCGGAUGAAGGGUGCUUGCACCCCGAUUCAGCGGCGGACGGGUGAGUAAUGCCUAGGAAUCUGCCCGAUAGUGGGGGACAACGUUUCGAAAGGAACGCUAAUACCGCAUACGUCCUACGGGAGAAAGUGGGGGCUC
Molecule: ribosomal RNA, 201 nt
Filed under: Azotobacter chroococcum
Lineage: Bacteria; Pseudomonadati; Pseudomonadota; Gammaproteobacteria; Pseudomonadales; Pseudomonadaceae
Description: partial 16S ribosomal RNA
Rfam family: Bacterial small subunit ribosomal RNA
Source: RNAcentral